This 596-nucleotide unclassified non-coding RNA is filed under the name Hevea brasiliensis (rubber tree). Lineage: Eukaryota; Viridiplantae; Streptophyta; Magnoliopsida; Malpighiales; Euphorbiaceae. The record is from RNAcentral.
UGGUUUUGCAAUUGGGUUUGAUUAGGACACUUGCAAAAUAUUGGAAAGAUCACGUUUUGGCCUAUAUCGAGUAGGGUGGGGAUGAGCGUGGGAUUCACAACCUCAACAGCCUGGUAAGUAGUGAGGUUUAGGAAGCUAUAAGUAGAAAGCAGGUAGAAAGUGUCACCUGCCUUAAUAGUGUAUGAAAUGUUUGCAUAAGAGUAAUUGACACCAGUGGUAACAUUGACAGUAUUGCAAGAACAUGACAAGGGGACAAAGAGAGAUUGGCCAGGGAUGAGAGGUGAAGAUGGAGAGGAGAUGUUGCUUGGUUUUGAUAUCAUUAGACGGCUAACAGAGAAAAGGUCACCAAUGGAACCCAGAUCCAGGUAGUUGGGCGCCGUGGCCUGGUAGAAGGCGUAGGUUUGGCAUGGGUUGCUAGUCUGGUUCACCGUGCAGGUGAAUCCUUGGGUGCUUGGCUCUGGCUGAGCUUGCAAAAGGUUAAGAACAUAAUUAAAACAAAGAAAGAAGAGGAAAGAAGAGACUAACUGGUUUGGGGUUCUCAUUUCUGGUUGUGUUUUUCCUCACACUGUUUUUUGUUGAUUUAUUUUCCAAGGAAG